This 7382-nucleotide long non-coding RNA is filed under the name Musa acuminata (dwarf banana). RNAcentral describes it as "long non-coding RNA (MACU_LNC002422)". The record is from RNAcentral. Lineage: Eukaryota; Viridiplantae; Streptophyta; Magnoliopsida; Zingiberales; Musaceae.
CCUUAGCUUUCUGCAUAAGAACUCAAGAAAUUGUCUACAAAUUUCAAUCUAUAAGCCAAACUAGUAGAUGGAUGAUGUUCAUGCAAUAAGAAUGGAACAUUCAAAAACAUGGAAUCCACAGGCAGAAUAAGAUCACUAAUUGUCAUACCAUAUGACAUAGCAAACAUGUUCAAACACAAACUACAUAGCUGCAACUAUACAUUCCACAGUAUGGAAUCAUAGAAGCUUAGUAAGCAGAAGAGCACAAAUAAUACAAGCAUACCCAAUGUUCUUCAUAAAUACGAGUCAUAGCAGCAAAAGUAGCAGCAGAUCACUGCUCACUUCGUAAUUAGUCCCACAUGGCCCUGAACCAAUUCAACCAUCCACGCUGCUCCUUCCUCCCCAUCCUCCUCCCAAAUUUGAGCUCCUUCUUGCCCAUCUCCAUCUCCUCCUCAUCAUCGGAGUCCGAAUCCGAGUCCUCCUCGUCGGCCCUCUUCUUCUUGUGCUCCUUGUUCUUUCUCGUCCUCCUCCUCUCCCCUUCCCACUCCGUCGCCAAAGGCCACUCCAUCCGGCCCUCCCUGCCCUCGGCCUCAGAUCCGGCGUCCACUUCGCCGCCCUUGGGGAGCGGGAUCAUGUCGUUUCCGUAGGGGACGAUCCUGACGCCGUGGAACCGGUGGCCGUGGCGGUCGUGGUGGUGGUGGUGGCAGCGGUGGCGGCGGAAGUGGUGGUGCACGGGGCGGCGAAGAGAGAGGUCAACGUGGUCGAAUCCCUCGACGAAUUCGGGGAUGGGAUGCUCCGACGUUAUCUUCUCGAUCGAGGCGGUUAGGGUUGUCAGGUCCGCAUCCUCGGCCGGGACCAGUUCGGCGGUCGUCGGAUCGAAGUCCUCCGGCACCUCACGGAAGUCGACGGCCGUGGUCGCGUCGGGGGCGAGGGGGACGCGGGUGGCGUGGGAGAGAAGGAAGAGGAGGGAGAAGACGACGGAGAGGAUGACGGAGAUCUUGACGGAAACCAUGGAUUCGGGUAACGGCGGUCAAUUCUAAGAAAUGUGCGUUUGUGGGACGCUCUGCAUCCGUUAUUUAUAGAUGAAGGCAACGGAGUGACCGGUCAACCUCGAUGGUAAGAAUAAAACCACUCAUUUUUAAUACUUUUAAUUUGUUUUUCUUAAAUAUUCUUUAAGUUUGAUUUAUAGAUGAUAAUUAUCAUAUAAAUAGUUAUAGUUCCCAGAAAAUGCUUUUGCUUUUUAUAAAAUAAAGCAUCUUAAAUAGUAUCUUAAAUUAAACAAUUAAUUUUCUUAAAUAGUAUCUUUAAUUAAAAAAUAUAUUAACUAUCUUUCAAAAAUUUUCUAGUGUUUUAACCUGUUAUAAUAUUUUGAUCAUCAAAAUAAAAACAUUAUAAGACUUACACAGUAAAAGUAUUGUAAGAUCAAUUCAAAAAUAUUAUAAAUAAUCUACAUGAACGUUUAACCUUAAUCAAAUUAAUUAUAAAUAUAAAAAUAUAAUAUUAUAAUAAUCUAUGAGCAAUAACAAUCAACAAUAUGAUAUCACUUAUAAUAUUUUUAAUAUCUUAAUAAAUCACUAUAACGUCAUUGGAAAACAUGGUAAAGAAGUCAAAUGAAAAUAUUCUAAUAGUUAAAAACUGAUUAAAAAUAUACAAAAAUGUUUGAUACAAUUUUUUUAGGGAUAUUUUAGGUUUUUUAAAAUUAGAGAUACUGUUUGAAAAAAAGAGAAAUUUUUUUCAAAAAAAAUAUAUAAAAUAUGAAAACUCGAGGAUUAAGUAUUUAGAUAUCUUUUUCCCGACAUCAACUGAAUUAAACUAGCAAAAAGAAUAUAAUAUAUCAGAGAGCAUAUAAAUACAUUGCUUGUUUCCUAUUUUAAAUUUUACAGCCUGGCACCACACAACUAUUAUAGUCUUAGAAUUUACGUGUAUUCGGUGCAGGUUAAACGUGGAAAGUCGUCUGAAUCAAUUAGUUUAAUUACGACCUGCUUCACUUUCUCUGGACUGCACAACACGCGGACGAUUUAGUCAAACGAUUACGCACACGCUGCUGUCAUUGAUUGCAACAACACACCAAUAUAAUCUUCGUUCCUUCAAUCAUGUUGCAUUGCUUAACAACGAAGGAGCCUCAGUCAAUUGUAUCUCCAAAUUGACCACUGCAGCUGUUCGUGGACUUCGUCCCUAAAGGACAACAUGUGGGAAAGAUCGAGAAGACAAGAAGGUCGGAAGAGGAGAUGGAGAGGAAGAGGUCGGUCACGGGUAGGAUUCUAGGAGAUAGAAAACUAUUAACAGGAAAUGGAUAAAAAGAGGGAAAAGAUAUAAAUAAAAUAAUUAUAUUAUAUGUGGGUUAACAAUUGUGAUUUAUAUUAGUUAUGAUUGAAUAACUUGGUACUUUGGAGGAUUUGGAUUUGGAUUUGGAUGAUAUAAGAUAGGAAAAUUAUGGCUUCUCCCUAAAUAUUUCUUUUUCAUACAUUUUCUAUUUUCACAUAAAAUUUCUGGCACCUCCGCUUUCCGUUGAUCCUAUACGACAAAGGUCCGAUGGGCUUUCCCUUUAGCCCAAUGCAGGUCCCUAACUCGACUUCCGCCCGCUCACCCUUCACUCGAUUCUCUGCCCUCGCUUUCGCCUAAUCCCUAAUCGAGUCACUCUUCGGCUCCGACAUGGUCGAUGGUGCCAAUGCCCUCCUCGCUGAUUCCUUCGCGGAAACCUCAACUUUCCCACGGACCCGUUUCUUCGGUCUCCUCCUCUCUCUCUACCCUGUCAAAUCCGAUGAUUCUUUGCCGCCGCAUCCUUUCGCUACUCCAUUCGGUGACCCUCAGAAUUCUGAUGAAUUGCCACUGCAAGUCGGGCCGCUUGGACGUCGCACACCAAGUGUUCGAUCAUACGAUAUAUGGUUAUUGAACUCCACGUGAUCCCUUGCAAUGUAUUAAUCCAAUUCUUCAGAAGGAAAGGACGGAUCUUUGAUGCAUUCAACGGUCUACGUGAGACGCGGAAGAGCAGGCCGAAUCGGCGGGCAUACGCAAUUGCAGACGAUGCGGAAGACGGUUCUUUUAACGUGACUCGUUUGCGAAUUAGGUUGGUUCCGAGUGCGAUCGCUUGUAAUUAUGGUUUCGAUGGGCUUGAUAAAGAAGGAAAGGUGCAAGCUUCGAGGGUUCAAGUUGGAAAACAGGGGAAAUGUGGUAUCAUAAGCUGGUUUUACCAGUAAAAGAAAGAUUGAAGAUGCAAAGUAUGGUUUUUGUCGAUAUGUCUGACAAGGGGUUAUGUCCGGAUGCUACGACAUACGCAGGCAAAUUUAAUAAUUUAUUCUAUUGUCUCGCAGGUGUUUUGCAUAGAGUUGAGAUUGAGGAAUAAUUUUGGUGCUUCACGAAUUUUUUUCUAACUGCUGUUGUGCAUCUACUGGUAAUUCCUCUUAUUCUCAAAUAUGUUUGUCAGUUUGUUCAACUUGCCAUUCUCAGAACACAAGAAACAACCAAAACAAAUUAGAAAAGGUUUCAUCAUGAGAAAUGCUGACGCAAUGUGGAUCUUAAGCUACAGUUUUGAGGAGAAAUUAAUUCAAAAUAUGAAGUUAGAAAAUAUGAAGUUGUGCUACCUAAGACUUCAAAGCUGAUGACGCUGGUAAUAAACUUCAUGGUGCUAUCAAGGAUAUAGUGGCUUGGUCUAGUGAACUUUGAAACUCUGAUUAUUUGAUCUAAACUUUGGUAUCAGUGCUUUUUUACAUUCACAUUGUUUGUUAAAAUUUUUGUUGCAUUCAUGUAUCUAUUUAGGCUUUAUUAGUUUGCGUUUUCUUUUCUUGUAUGCAUUUUGGGGAAAAUGAGUUAUGAGGGUCACCUCACAUACAUGGGAGGCAGAAGGUUCUCAAAAAUCUGAGAAUUAGUUUCUAGAUUUUUUUAUGAAUUACUUUCCAAUCUUCUUUUCCUUUUGUUGUUGUCGUUACUGUCGGAUGUGAGUUUCUUUUAGUUUGUUUCAGUAUUCUUGUGUAAUUUUUCCAUGCUGAUAGAUGUAUAAUGAUGGUAUGUCUCAUCAGUGAUGAUUGUGGUACUAAGGAAGCAGAACUUGUAUGUCUGUUGUAGCAAUUCACCUUUAUCUUAUGAUGCCAUGAAGGUUUCAUACAUCAUAUUGAACUUUUUGAUCACAUCUGUUUUUGUAAAUGUUUCGUUCUGCUUGUUUUACAUAUUUGGGAAUCUAGGUAAAAAGGAUAUUUAUGUACUUGCCAUAAUACUUGUAAAUUGCAUUUGCUUUGUUUUUGUCGAACAUCUUCUGUGCAUUCAUGUGGUGACUAUUUAUUUGUCUGAAAACUAUCCUUCCACCCAGUUGUGCUAGACAAUAUUUCUUUAUGAGCAAACCCACACUGCUUUCGUGCAGGGCACUAGGUUCUAACUUUGACCUUGCAGAGUAUAGCUUCUGACAAUGGCUUUAUCAUGACGGAGCUGCAUGUUGAGAUUAGUAAUGUGUCCACCAUAGUGGUUGCUACAUUGACUGCAUUUCCACAUUCCAGACAGUAGAAUUUGCUACUGGAGAUUGUGGUGACACUCUCUGCACAAUAAUAAAGUAAAAGCUUUUGAUGUAUUUGUGCCAGUACAUUCUAGUGUGCAUGUGCAUUUGAAGCACGUCUGUUUGUACAAUGCAAAUAUAUGCAAAUGCUACUUGUGUAAUUCAUUAGCUUUAGGUUUAUAAAUGUAGCACAAUCAUGAUCAAUGUUUUAUUUUAGUCUUUGACAAUAUGCAGAAUUGAGACUUGUAGUUACAUGAGAUAAUAUCAAAGGUGUGGUUGUUUAUCCUCCUCAACAUAACUCAUUGCUAAAUAGCUCCUCUUGUUUUCUCUUGCACUAAUAAUAACUUACAUGAUGUAAAUUGCAAACUCAUGAGUAUUUUCACAUUUUCUCGCUGGCAUAGUCUUAUUAUUUUGAUAUAUAUUGAUCCUCAACAAGUAUAGCAAUAUUAGUCUUUAGUUUUGAACUUAUUUCUGAUUGUCUUGCAGUUCUUUGUUCACCUAAGUGGUAUUGUGAAAUAAUAGGAUUGGUUCUUGCCAUGUUCUUCUGCAUACAACCAUAUAUUUGAUCACUUCAUAUCUGUCUGAACUAAUUUGCUUCUCUAAAUAAGCUGCAAUUCAAGUGUAAAUUUAAUUUUGACUCGGAACCACCAAAACUACCUGGUUCUCAUUAGAGAGACUUAACACAAUCAAACUUGUAGAAGCACAAGGACAAGGCAUCUCUACAGUCUUUUAGAUAAUAAAGCUUGAAUAUAAGUACUUGAACUAAUCUAAGUCAAAUCAAAUCUAACUUAUAAAAGCACAAGGAAAUAACAUCUCUAGAGAUUUUGGUAGAUGAUAAAAGCUUGUCUCUAGUUACUUGAAAUUAAGUAUUCAAAAAUCUAUUAGUCACCUAUAUGAUGAAAACAAAGAGAUGCUACUAACUUCAUUCCAGUUGUUUGUUUCAUUUUCUUGUGUCUUCUUAUCCUUGGUGUUUGUAUUUUCUUAACAAACCCAAUGAAUUUUCUUUAGAAGAAAAUUUUCAAUGUAGUAUCAUGAUUUCAACUUUCAUGCCCAGUAAAAUUUUGACACAUCCUAUGUGCAUGCUACAGAUAUGACUAUGUUUCAUCUAACACGUCCAGAGAUAUACAUAUUUGUAUAGCCCCACACGCUUAUUCAACUCUUAGCUCCUAGUGGUCUCUGAUACAGAUCCAUUCCUGUUUCUAGACUGCUGGUUCAUGUAGCUAUAUUCAUAAUGAUUGUGAUACCAAUGUAGCAGGGUUUGCUUCCCACUGUCUUGGCAAUAACCAGUUAACCACUAGUCUUUUUUUCACUUUAUUUUGCCACAUAUUUCUUUCAUCAUCUUAUAUGAGAAAGUUACUGUUAUCAACUGUAGUCAGAGAACCAACAUAUUUUCAUUGGUGAAAAACUUGUACUGAAGAAUGUGCUAGAACAAAAACCUGGAAUCUUACAUGUAAGAUCAUGUCAUCCAGAUCAAUAGUAUCUCCAUUGUCUUUCACAGUCUACAAGGGACUCUUAACUUGUGUCUCCCUUCAGGGCAGUGGGGACUCUCAAACACCAGGAGACCCCAGCUUAUUGGUGACUACUGUUUACUACUAUGCAUGGACAAACUGGGCAAACAAUAAAAGUAUCUGAUCUUCCCAAGUUAUUUAUUAGUAGAACUACCCAAUACUUAGUCCAGUGUCAUCAGCUCAUUGCUGGUGGUUGACUUUCUUCUCUCUGGGUUGCAAGUGGAUGAAUGAUGAAACUGGCAAGGCUGUUUGCACUUCUACUGUUUCGGUUUGGUUUAUUCCAGAGAAUCACAUCCAGGGAUGAGAUUAUUAAACUUGCUUAUCUUGCUAACUCUGCUUGAACUUAUGGAAAGUGUACUCAUGGCAUCUUUGCAUUGCCAGCAUUGUUGGUUUACAAUUAGCAACUACAGCAUGAUGCAUAUUGGUCAACCAUAAGGAUCAUCUUAUGUGUGUGCACUGCAGAUACUUUUAUCUGGAUAUCUGACCACUGAGCAUUUGCUGCUGUUUCUGAGACUAAUGCACCACUACAAAUGCUUCAUCAUCUGUAGUUGUACACCUUCUUGUGCAAUUCAUAUAUCACCUAUUCAAACACUCGAGUGAUGGGCAAGUUAUCUACUCUCUCAAGUGAUGGAAUAAGCUAUUUGAUGACCAGUUCAGUGCAAGUAAACUGGACACCAGCUUCUGACAUUUGCUUAUUAAUGGUCACUGAGUUUAAGGGCUGAGUACAUGACUUCCCUUGUUCCCUGAGGAUUGUACAAAGGACAGAUAUUACUAGUAAACUGCCUUGAGUCAACUGUAGGUAUUACAGUAUUGCUGUUUAGGUAAUGUGCAGUUUUUGUUAUUAGAAAACUGCUAGUGGUCAAAGCAUCUCUCAUAUUCCCAAUAGCUUUGCUCCAAAAGAUAAUCUGAUCUGAGUCUCAAAAACAUUAGCCACAAGAUGAGUUUUUUUUUUAUUUAAAUCAUGUUAGACUUUUUGGGCUUCCAUACAAAAUAAAAGCUUUCCAAAGUCAAACUAUGAAAACCACAUAGAGCCUGACUUCAAAAACAGAGUCUCAUGAAAUUUCCUGGCAGCUCUGGACUGAGUUUACUACACUAGUAUUUGGUACAGUCAACUGUAUUAUUCAUUCCAAGCUUGAAGACGCAUCUCCUGCAGUCAAGCAAGCUCUUGGUUCUUCUCAACCACUCUCACCUCCUUUGCAGAUCUGAGAAUGGCUGCCUGAAGGAAGGAGGACAUCAAAAGACAACAUGGCAUUUCCAUCAGGGGUGACACAAAACAUCUUAAAUCCAAGAAGGAAUACCUGCUUUUUGGUUAUCUCCACUGAGAAGCCAUCAACAAUUGCCAGAGAGGACUUCUUCCUGUAGGAGUUUGGUGGGAGAAGCUUUGCCAGUAGCUGGUCAUGCUUGUGACUCAG